GUGUGUGUGUGAGAGAGAGAGAGAGAGAGAGAGAGAGAGAGAGAAAUGUGUUAGGACACUGUUUCUUUCUUUCUUUCUUUCUUUCUUUCUUUCUUUCUUUUCUUUU
RNAcentral lists this microRNA precursor (106 nucleotides) under Podarcis lilfordi (Lilford's wall lizard). Lineage: Eukaryota; Metazoa; Chordata; Lepidosauria; Squamata; Lacertidae. The record is from RNAcentral.